This 1395-nucleotide long non-coding RNA is filed under the name Numida meleagris (helmeted guineafowl). RNAcentral describes it as "lncRNA (ENSNMEG00000002570.1)". The record is from RNAcentral. Lineage: Eukaryota; Metazoa; Chordata; Aves; Galliformes; Numididae.
GUGGCAGCAGGGUGACAAUUGGGAACUGUGGGGUGGCAUGGGGUAAGGUGACACCAGGGUGACACCAGGGUGACAGCGGGUGACAACAAGACAGGAUAAGUUGACACUGGGGUGACAGUGGGAUGGGGCAGGGUGACACAGGGUGACAGUGGGGUGACAAGAAGGGAUGGGGUGGCGGCAGGGUGACAAUUGGGAACUGUGGGGUGACACGGGGUAAGGUGACACCAGGGUGACACUGGGUGACAGCAAGACAGGACAGGGUGACACCGGGGUGACAGUGGGAUGGGGCAGGGUGACACUGGGGUGACAGCAGGGUGACAAGAAGGGAUGGGGUGACGGCAGGGUGACAAUUGGGAACCGUGGGGUGACACUGGGUGAUAGCGGACGGGACAGGGUGACACCGGGGUGACAUCAGGGUGACGCCGGGGUGACAGCGAGGGUGGGACGGGGUUGUCCCUGGGCCAGGACGGGGUGACACCGGGACGGGACCGGGUGGGGGAGGGGACGGGGACGCGGUGUCACCCUGAUCCCGGUGACCCCCAGGAGCGGGCGGUUCCUGGUGAGCGGGGACAGCGGUGGCUUUGUCACCGUUUGGGACACGCUGCGGCCACCGGAGCCCGGGGACCCCCCCCUGCUGCCCCACACCCUGCGCUUCCACGCCCUGAGGGACUGCGUCAACGGCACCAGGUGCGGCUGUCACCUCUGUGUCACUGUCACCCCUGUGUCACUGUCACCCGCGUCAUGUCACCCAUGUCAUGUCACCUGCAUCACUGUCACCUCUGUGUCACUGUCACCUGCAUCAUGUCACCUCUGUGUCACUGUCACCUCUGUGUCACUGUCACCUCUGCGUCACUGUCACCUCUGCGUCACUGUCACCUGCAUCAUGUCACCUCUGUGUCGCUGUCACCUCUGUGUCACUGUCACCUCUGUGUCACUGUCACCUCUGUGUCACUGUCACCUGCGUCACUGUCACCUCUGUGUCACUGUCACCUCUGUGUCACUGUCACCCGCGUCACUGUCACCCGCGUCACUGUCACCCGCGUCACUGUCACCUCUGUGUCACUGUCACCUCUGUGUCACUGUCACCUCUGUGUCACUGUCACCUGCAUCAUGUCACCUCUGUGUCACUGUCAUUCACGUCAUGUCACCUCUGUGUCACUGUCACCCGCAUCAUGUCACCUGCAUCAUGACACCUCUGUGUCACUGUCACCCGCGUCACUGUCACCUCUGUGUCAUGUCACCUCUGUGUCACUGUCACCCACGUCAUGUCCCCUCUGUGUCACUGUCAUCUGCAUCGUGACACCUCUGUGUCACUGUCACCCAUGUCAUGUCCCCUGUGUCACUGUCCCCUCUGUGUCACUGUUCCCUCUGUGUCACUGUCACCCAUGUCAUGUC